AAUAAGCUAUUUAAGAGCGUAAGGUGGAUGCCUUGGCUCUCAGAGGCGAUGAAGGACGUGAUAAGCUGCGAUAAGCUACGGGGAUUGGCACACACAAUUUGAUCCGUAGAUUUCCGAAUGGGGCAACCCACUAUAUUGAAGAUAUAGUAUCCGUUAAGGAAGCAAACCCAGGGAACUGAAACAUCUAAGUACCUGGAGGAAUAGAAAACAAAAGUGAUUCCGCUAGUAGUGGCGAGCGAACGCGGAACAGCCCAAACCAAAAUUGUUUCGGCAAUUUUGGGGUUGUAGGACCACGACAUUGAAUGUUUAAUGAAUUAGAAUUCUUUGGAAAAAGAAACCAUAGAGGGUGAUAGUCC
Molecule: ribosomal RNA, 356 nt
Filed under: uncultured Flavobacteriaceae bacterium
Lineage: Bacteria; Pseudomonadati; Bacteroidota; Flavobacteriia; Flavobacteriales; Flavobacteriaceae
Description: bacterial LSU rRNA
Rfam family: Bacterial large subunit ribosomal RNA
Source: RNAcentral